GUCGUAACAAGGUAGCCGUAGGGGAACCUGUGGCUG
Molecule: ribosomal RNA, 36 nt
Filed under: Kandelia candel
Lineage: Eukaryota; Viridiplantae; Streptophyta; Magnoliopsida; Malpighiales; Rhizophoraceae
Description: partial 18S ribosomal RNA
Source: RNAcentral